CUGAAAAAAGCUCUCGAAAGGUUACACACACUUGUCUGUGUUUACAUACAUCAGUCAGGUUUACUAUCUGUACCUCAUCACUGGAAGCAGAGCCAGUAGCGAGUGUCAGCACAGCCCACACAACCUUCCUGGAAGGAAGUAGCCAGGAAGCGAGCCACAUCGGAAGGGGAUGCCACACUCCUCCGAGUCCUCCUCUUGUAGCUGGGCAGAGAGCAGCUCUAAAAGAAGAGGACAAGAAAACAGGCCCCAGUAAGAGGAGACGAUGGACCCGCAAAGUGACGCCCGACGACCGUAUUAACUGCACGUCAGGCUACUUUAGCCGCUCGUCAUCAACUAGUAGCCAUCAGCACUCACCUGUACGCUGCUUGCCGGAAGUUUUGAGGACAUCGGAAGGACAGACAGCGAAAUCCUCCCUGGAUGUUGAAGCAGUUUUCAGAGAAAGAACAGGGUUCUCCUUGGAAGAAGGGCCUCUCACAGACCCAUUGCUCCUUGGCCAUCUGAAUGCCCUUUUCACAGAGUCGGUCUUCUACUGCUGCCGCACAGCACUGCUCCUGGG
Cyclopterus lumpus (lumpfish) is the source of this 556-nucleotide long non-coding RNA. RefSeq lists it as uncharacterized. Lineage: Eukaryota; Metazoa; Chordata; Actinopteri; Perciformes; Cyclopteridae. The transcript is spliced from 4 exons. The record is from RefSeq and is a predicted model, not a curated record.